Molecule: long non-coding RNA, 1292 nt
Organism: Spinacia oleracea (spinach)
Lineage: Eukaryota; Viridiplantae; Streptophyta; Magnoliopsida; Caryophyllales; Amaranthaceae
Exons: 3
Source: RefSeq, a predicted model, not a curated record
AGUAAUAAUGCGACGCAAAAUAUUACCUCAUUUGCGUCGCAGAAUUACUAAUCUGCGACGCAAAUGAGGUAAAAAAAAAUCGGACGUGUCAAUGGGUUUCUACCUCUCUCCUCAAACACACUCUCUCCUAAUUCUACCUCUCUCCUCAAACUCUCUCUCUCUCUCCUAAACUCCCUGCUUCUUCCUCUCUCCUCAAACCCGAUCCAGUUUCUGCCUCUCUCUCCUCAACCUCGCCGCUCAAAUUUUCCUCCGGCAAGGUUCUUGCACAAAAAUUCGGUUUGUAAAUGAGGUUUCGACAACGGAAGAGGGAGAAUCGGGGCCGUAGAAGAGGUGGAGGAGGGUGUCGGAGGUGGAAGCGUCAUUGAAACCGCCGGCGUCGCACCCUUGCUACUGUCGCAAUCGAAGCAUCUAUUUCGAAAUCCUUGGAAAGGGAAGCUUGACGGCGGAGGUUUCUGGAGAAACUAGAUUGACGGCGGCGAGGUGGAGGAAGGAGGCGGGACGGUUAGUCGGAGGGUUGUUGUUGACAGUCUUUCAGAUGUGGUAGACUACUGGGUAACAUUUAAUGAGCCUCAUGUCUUUUGUAUGUUGACAUACUGUGCUGGUGCUUGGCCUGGCGGUAAUCCUGACAUGUUGGAGGCGGCAACGUCUGCUCUACCAACUGGUGUAUACAAUCAAACCAUGGACUGGAUUGCCAUUGCACACUCAAAAGCAUAUGAUUACAUCCAUGAACACAGGUUAUUUUUCUUCAGACUUCUGAGCACAACUGAGAAAAUCAAGCCAAAGAUCUUUUGUUAACAAGUCCUAUUAGAAACACUGACUACAUAGGUGCAACUAAAAGUUAAUCAUGUUUUAUCUUCCAAAAAUGAUGUGAUGAUUCACGGAAUCACGGGCACUGAUUUAUAUGCUGCAUCACGAGUUUAUGAAAGUGAUCCUUUUGCUAAGGGACAUUCUGGCUUGUUUCAUCAUCACAGGAGCUUAUUGUAUCUUUCAGAACAAGGAGCAGACUUUCACCACCACUAGGUUCCCCAAGUUUCAGAUGUUGUAUCUUAUGGUGGUUUAAAUGUCAUUUAUUGUUGUCUAUACAAGUUAUUAAACAGGGCAAACCUCUAGAAAGAAAUCUGUGUAGCUAUUGUUAUGGAGAUUAUUGUUUACCCAUUUGAAUGGAAUUUCAAUCUUAGAUAAUGCUUUGUGUUUCGUGUUUAGAAAAUAUAUUUGAUGAUAGGAUGGGUUUAUCAUGCACAAGUAAAUAUAUUUUCUCUCUGCAUUGUGUUCCUAUUGAGAUAGUCCCCCCC